This 1327-nucleotide long non-coding RNA is filed under the name Homo sapiens (human). Its description in RNAcentral is "HSALNT0340985". Lineage: Eukaryota; Metazoa; Chordata; Mammalia; Primates; Hominidae. The record is from RNAcentral.
CUCAGAGGCAGUCAAAGUUGGAAUUAUGACUCUCAUAUGUGAACGCAGUCCACAGGUAGCAUGGUGAUUCCCACACCAAGAUUCAGCAGCCCUGUGAGGCUGUGGCUCUGCUACUGGGACACUAAGGCAUUGUGAAAUAUCUCUAGGCCCAUCACCUACGUGAUGUGACUCUUCUUUCCUGCCUGAACCCUGCCCCCAAGAGACAUUGUGACAUAUCACUGGGUCCAGCUUCCAGGUAAUGUAACAGUCCUGCCUUGGCCCUGCCCACAAGGGGCAUUGUGACAUAUUGCUGAGCCCAGUACCUAGGUGAUAUGACUCUCCUGAAUUGCCCCUGCACUCAGGGGAGACUUUUGACCCUGCCCAAAGUGGCAAUUGUGACAUAUCUUUGGCCAGCACCCAGGAGAUCCAAACUUUGUUCCUGGUCUCUCUCCACAGUUGGAAUUGGGAACUACACAUGGGCACAGCUUACAGCUGGAUCCAGGUAUGAGAGUCAUCAUCUCACCUGUGAGCUGUGACCAUGUAUAUGUCGCAAUUUCACCUGUCAUCAGGAAGCAGACAUGAGAGUCCUAUCACCUGGGUGCUGGACGAAGUUUCGCUCUUGUUUCCCAGGCCGGAGCACAAUGGUGUGAUCUCGACUCACUGCAACCUCCGCCUCCCGGAUUCAAGCGAUUCUCCUGCCUCAGCCUGCCGAGUAGCUGGGAUUACAGAUGAAAAAAGAUGCAAAGAAGACAUAUUUGCUUUUUAUCCACACAUCAUUUCCAAUCACUAUGCUGAGCAAAGUCAAUGUGAGCAGAGCUGAGAAUAGCAGUUUUCUGGCAGGACGGCCACUUCUGAGCAAAAAAUGACACAAUAAAAGUAUAAAUAUUUAAUAGUAAGCUAAUAUAUUUUCAGCAAAUUAAGCAUAUGCAUUAAUAAAAUUAUUGUGGUAUAAUAUUCAUUUUGUUGAUUCCUAUUGCGCUCAGGUAAUAUCAGAUAAAAAACCAGCAAAUAUAGAGCAAAAAUAGUUAUUUGAAAUGGAAAUAUUGUGAAUAAAGUUAUUGUCAAUUAAAGUAAAAAUAUUUUUAUCUCCUACUAAUCGUUUACCUAUAGUUGUACAGUAUCAAAUGCUUUUUAUUAACAACUGUACUUCAUAUAAGUAUUCCAUUUAUAUCACCCUUCUUCAUGGUUUCAAUGCCUUCUGCACUUCAUAUCAGUGAAAAACAGGCGAGCUGGUACCAGGAAAUUGAUGUGGUGCUAUUACUACUUUAAGAGUGAUGACGUGUAAUCCUAGCACUUUGGGAGGCCGAGGCAGGCGGAUCACGAGGUCAAGAGAUCCAGACCAUUCUGG